CCUACGGGUGGCAGCAGUCGAGAAUCAUUCACAAUGGGGGAAACCCUGAUGGUGCGACGCCGCGUGGGGGAAUGAAGGUCUUCGGAUUGUAAACCCCUGUCAUGUGGGGGCAAAUUAAAAAGAUAGUACCACAAGAGGAAGAGACGGCUAACUCUGUGCCAGCAGCCGCGGUAAUACAGAGGUCUCAAGCGUUGUUCGGAAUCACUGGGCGUAAGGCGUGCGUAGGCUGUUUCGUAAGUCGUGUGUGAAAGGCGCGGGCUCAACCCGCGGACGGCACCUGAUACUGCGAGACUAGAGUAAUGGAGGGGGAACCGGAAUUCGCGGUGUAGCAGUGAAAUGCGUAGAUAUCGAGAGGAACACUCGUGGCGAAGGCGGGUUCCUGGACAUUAACUGACGCUGAGGCACGAAGGCCAGGGGAGCUAAAGGGAUUAGAUACCCUUGUAGUC
This 446-nucleotide ribosomal RNA is filed under the name uncultured bacterium. RNAcentral describes it as "partial 16S ribosomal RNA". It matches the Rfam family "Bacterial small subunit ribosomal RNA", at positions 338 to 795 of the family's 1533-position model. The record is from RNAcentral.